UAGCGGGAGGCCUAACACAUGCAAGCCGAGCGGUAUUUAUUCUUCGGAAUAGAGAGAGCGGCGUACGGGUGCGGAACACGUGUGCAACCUGCCUUUAUCAGGGGGAUAGCCUUUCGAAAGGAAGAUUAAUACCCCAUAAUAUAAGAAACGGCAUCGUUUUUUAUUGAAAACUCCGGUGGAUAGAGAUGGGCACGCGCAAGAUUAGAUAGUUGGUAGGGUAACGGCCUACCAAGUCAGUGAUCUUUAGGGGGCCUGAGAGGGUGAUCCCCCACACUGGUACUGAGACACGGACCAGACUCCUACGGGAGGCAGCAGUGAGGAAUAUUGGACAAUGGGUGAGAGCCUGAUCCAGCCAUCCCGCGUGAAGGACGACGGCCCUAUGGGUUGUAAACUUCUUUUGUAUAGGGAUAAACCUUUCCACGUGUGGAAAGCUGAAGGUACUAUACGAAUAAGCACCGGCUAACUCCGUGCCAGCAGCCGCGGUAAUACGGAGGGUGCAAGCGUUAUCCGGAUUUAUUGGGUUUAAAGGGUCCGUAGGCGGAUCUGUAAGUCAGUGGUGAAAUCUCAUAGCUUAACUAUGAAACUGCCAUUGAUACUGCAGGUCUUGAGUAAAGUAGAAGUGGCUGGAAUAAGUAGUGUAGCGGUGAAAUGCAUAGAUAUUACUUAGAACACCAAUUGCGAAGGCAGGUCACUAUGUUUUAACUGACGCUGAUGGACGAAAGCGUGGGGAGCGAACAGGAUUAGAUACCCUGGUAGUCCACGCCGUAAACGAUGCUAACUCGUUUUUGGGUCUUCGGAUUCAGAGACUAAGCGAAAGUGAUAAGUUAGCCACCUGGGGAGUACCUUC
Molecule: ribosomal RNA, 847 nt
Filed under: bacterium RSB-3-10
Lineage: Bacteria
Description: bacterial SSU rRNA
Rfam family: Bacterial small subunit ribosomal RNA
Source: RNAcentral